Molecule: ribosomal RNA, 273 nt
Filed under: uncultured bacterium
Lineage: Bacteria
Description: partial 16S ribosomal RNA
Rfam family: Bacterial small subunit ribosomal RNA
Source: RNAcentral
UACGUAGGGUGCGAGCGUUAAUCGGAAUUACUGGGCGUAAAGCGUGCGCAGGCGGUUUUGUAAGACAGGCGUGAAAUCCCCGGGCUCAACCUGGGAACUGCGCUUGUGACUGCAAGGCUAGAGUACGGCAGAGGGGGGUGGAAUUCCACGUGUAGCAGUGAAAUGCGUAGAGAUGUGGAGGAACACCAAUGGCGAAGGCAGCCCCCUGGGUCGAUACUGACGCUCAUGCACGAAAGCGUGGGUAGCAAACAGGAUUAGAAACCCCAGUAGUCC